Alosa sapidissima (American shad) is the source of this 492-nucleotide long non-coding RNA. RefSeq lists it as uncharacterized. The record is from RefSeq and is a predicted model, not a curated record. Lineage: Eukaryota; Metazoa; Chordata; Actinopteri; Clupeiformes; Clupeidae. The transcript has 3 exons.
GCUUCUCCAUCGCAGAACAAGGAGCAAGCACCUUGCAAGCUGACGUCACCUUCAGAUGGGUAAUGGAUGUCCCCUUUCCUCCUCCACGCAUUCUUUACCCUGCGGUUUGGCCAACACAGCGAGGAGCCCGAGGAAUGAGUCGUCCCAAACAGGAGCGCAACGCCCACAGGAAUCACAUGCUCUGGUGCCUAACACAGGGAGCAGAUGGUCGACAACAGCGUCAUGGCCUCACAAUGUCAGAUGGCGGUCAGAGGAGAAAAAUCCAGUAUAAGGACAUAUGUUUAAAGGUGCCCCAGAGGGAGAGGACACCCAGACAGACAUUCAAACAGAGAGAAGACUCCAGGCUGCUGACCCUGCCAUCUUGAGCGUGUACAGGCAUCUAAUGGAGAAAUGAAUGGGACACUUACUUCUGGAGCUGGAGCCUUCACGGAGGUGGGCGGAGUCAGAGCCUUCAUGGAGGUGUGCGGUGACUGUUGAACUUCUUUGGAGACA